GAUGAACGCUGGCGGCGUGCCUAAUACAUGCAAGUCGAGCGAACGGACGAGAAGCUUGCUUCUCUGAUGUUAGCGGCGGACGGGUGAGUAACACGUGGAUAACCUACCUAUAAGACUGGGAUAACUUCGGGAAACCGGAGCUAAUACCGGAUAAUAUUUUGAACCGCAUGGUUCAAAAGUGAAAGACGGUCUUGCUGUCACUUAUAGAUGGAUCCGCGCUGCAUUAGCUAGUUGGUAAGGUAACGGCUUACCAAGGCAACGAUGCAUAGCCGACCUGAGAGGGUGAUCGGCCACACUGGAACUGAGACACGGUCCAGACUCCUACGGGAGGCAGCAGUAGGGAAUCUUACGCAAUGGGCGAAAGCCUGACGGAGCAACGCCGCGUGAGUGAUGAAGGUCUUCGGAUCGUAAAACUCUGUUAUGAGGGAAGAACAUAUGUGUAAGUAACUGUGCACAUCUUGACGGUACCUAAUCAGAAAGCCACGGCUAACUACGUG
This 497-nucleotide ribosomal RNA is filed under the name uncultured bacterium. RNAcentral's name for it is "partial 16S ribosomal RNA". It matches the Rfam family "Bacterial small subunit ribosomal RNA", at positions 28 to 507 of the family's 1533-position model. The record is from RNAcentral.